GACGAACGCUGGCGGCGGGCUUAACACAUGCAAGUCGAACGAACGCCUUCGGGCGUUAGUGGCGCACGGGUGAGUAACACGUAGGCAAUCUACCCUCGGCUGGGGAAGUAACCAGGGGAAACCCGUCGGCUAAUACCGCAUAACAUCUGGACGUCGCCUGGCGACCAGAUCAAAGCUUUAUGUGGCCGAGGAUGAGCCUGCGUCGGAUUAGCUAGUUGGGUGGGAACGGCCGUACCAGCGACGAUCCGUAGCGGGUCUGAGAGGAUGAU
Molecule: ribosomal RNA, 269 nt
Filed under: uncultured bacterium
Lineage: Bacteria
Description: partial 16S ribosomal RNA
Rfam family: Bacterial small subunit ribosomal RNA
Source: RNAcentral